Molecule: ribosomal RNA, 870 nt
Filed under: uncultured bacterium
Lineage: Bacteria
Description: bacterial SSU rRNA
Rfam family: Bacterial small subunit ribosomal RNA
Source: RNAcentral
UGGCUCAGAUAAAACGCUGGCGGCGUGCAUUACCAAUGCGAGUCGGACGGGCGUCUCUUUCGGGGGGCGUCAGUGGCGGACGGGUGCGUAACACGUGGGUGACCUGCCCAGACGUGGGGGAUACCCGCCCGAAAGGGUGGCUAAUACCGCGUGUGGCUCGCCGGAUCGAGCUGGCGAGCAAAGCUUUCUCGGAAGGGGGAGCGCGUCUGGAGGGGCCCGCGGCCUAUCAGCUGGUCGGUGGGGUAACGGCCUACCGAGGCGGCGACGGGUAGCCGGUCUGAGAGGACGAACGGCCACAGUGGGACUGGAACAUGGUCCACAGCCCUACGGGGUUUAGCAUGGAGGAAUCUUGCGCAACGGCGGAGACGCCGGCGCAGCAACGCCGCGUGGAGGACGACGGCUCUCGGGUCGUAAACUCCUGUUGCUCGGGAAGAAGUACCUUUGGGGAGAGCCUGAGGGGAAGACGGUACCGGGCGAGGAAGCCCCGGCUAACUACGUGCCAGCAGCCGCGGUAAUACGUAGGGGGCGAGCGUUAUCCGGAUUCAUUGGGCGUAAAGGGCGCGUAGGCGGCCCGCAGCAGUGGCGCGUGGAAUCUCCCGGCUCACCCGGGAGGGGCCGUGCCAGACGGGCGGGCUGGAGGCGAGUAGAGGUGCGCGGAACGGGCGGAGUAGGGGUGAAAUCCGUAGAGACCGUCCGGAACACCGGUAGCGGAGGCGGCGCACUGGGCUCGUACUGACGCUGAGGCGCGAAAGCGUGGGGAGCGAACGGAAUUAGAUACUCCGGUAGUCCACGCCCUAAACGAUGGCCACUCGGUGUCGGGGGUAUCGACCCCCCCGGUGCCCCAGCGAACGCGGUAAGUGGCCCGCCUGG